GACGAACGCUGGCGGCGUGCUUAACACAUGCAAGUCGAACGGGCCCGCUCUCUUUUUUGGGGGUGGGUUGAGUGGCGAACGGGUGAGUAUCACGUGAGUAACCUGCCCCCUGCUCCUGGAUAACUGCUUGAAAGGGCGGCUAAUACGGGGUGUGCCGGCUGGUCCGCAUGGGCCUGGUCGGGAUAGUUUCAUCUUCGGGUGUUUCGGUGGGGGAUGGGCUCGCGGCCUAUCAGCUUGUUGGUGGGGUGAUGGCCCACCAAGGCGGUGACGGGUAGCCGGCCUGAGAGGGUGGGCGGCCACACUGGGACUGAGACACGGCCCAGACUGCUGCGGGAGGCAGCAGUGGGGGGUAUUGCACAAUGGGCGGAAGCCUGAUGCAGCGACGUCGCGUGAGGGAUGGAGGCCUUCGGGUUGUGAACCUCUUUCUCCGGUGGUGAAGGCCCUGUCCGUUGCGGCGGGGUUGACGGUAGCCGGGGAUGAAGCGCCGGCUAACUACGUG
This 499-nucleotide ribosomal RNA is filed under the name uncultured bacterium. Its description in RNAcentral is "partial 16S ribosomal RNA". It matches the Rfam family "Bacterial small subunit ribosomal RNA", at positions 28 to 507 of the family's 1533-position model. The record is from RNAcentral.